AGAGUUUGAUCCUGGCUCAGGAUGAACGCUAGCGGCAGGCUUAACACAUGCAAGUCGAGGGGUAUAGGUUUUCGGACCUAGAGACCGGCGCACGGGUGCGUAACGCGUAUGCAAUCUACCUUUUACAGAGGGAUAGCCCAGAGAAAUUUGGAUUAAUACCUCAUAGCAUUAUUGAAUGGCAUCAUUUGAUAAUUAAAGUCACAACGGUAAAAGAUGAGCAUGCGUCCCAUUAGCUUGUUGGUAAGAUAACGGCUUACCAAGGCAACGAUGGGUAGGGGUCCUGAGAGGGAGAUCCCCCACACUGGUACUGAGACACGGACCAGACUCCUACGGGAGGCAGCAGUGAGGAAUAUUGGUCAAUGGGCGCAAGCCUGAACCAGCCAUGCCGCGUGCAGGAUGACGGUCCUAUGGAUUGUAAACUGCUUUUGUACAGGAAGAAACAGUUCUACGUGUAGAACCUUGACGGUACUGUAAGAAUAAGGAUCGGCUAACUCCGUGCCAGCAGCCGCGGUAAUACGGAGGAUCCAAGCGUUAUCCGGAAUCAUUGGGUUUAAAGGGUCCGUAGGCGGUUUUGUAAGUCAGUGGUGAAAGCCCGUCGCUCAACGGCGGAACGGCCAUUGAUACUGCAAGACUUGAAUUAUUAGGAAGCAACUAGAAUAUGUAGUGUAGCGGUGAAAUGCUUAGAUAUUACAUGGAAUACCAAUUGCGAAGGCAGGUUGCUACUAAUGGAUUGACGCUGAUGGACGAAAGCGUGGGGAGCGAACAGGAUUAGAUACCCUAGUAGUCC
Molecule: ribosomal RNA, 787 nt
Filed under: uncultured bacterium
Lineage: Bacteria
Description: bacterial SSU rRNA
Rfam family: Bacterial small subunit ribosomal RNA
Source: RNAcentral